AUCCUGGCUUAGGAUGAACGCUAGCUACAGGCUUAACACAUGCAAGUCGAGGGGCAGCAUUAUCGAAGCUUGCUUUGAUAGAUGGCGACCGGCGCACGGGUGCGUAACACGUAUCCAAUCUACCCAUGGCUCAGGGAUAGCCUUUCGAAAGAAAGAUUAAUACCUGAUGGUCUCACAUGAAGACAUCUUUUUGUGAGUAAAGAUUUAUCGGCGAUGGAUGAGGAUGCGUCUGAUUAGGUAGAUGGCGGGGUAACGGCCCACCAUGCCGACGAUCAGUAGGGGUUCUGAGAGGAAGGUCCCCCACAUUGGAACUGAGACACGGUCCAAACUCCUACGGGAGGCAGCAGUGAGGAAUAUUGGUCAAUGGACGAGAGUCUGAACCAGCCAAGUAAGCGUGAAGGAAGACUGCCCUAUGGGUUGUAAACUUCUUUUGUUUGGGAAUAAAGUCCGCUACGUGUAGCGGUUUGUAUGUACCCAUACGAAUAAGCAUCGGCUAAUUCCGUGCCAGCCGCCGC
RNAcentral lists this ribosomal RNA (515 nucleotides) under uncultured bacterium. RNAcentral's name for it is "bacterial SSU rRNA". It matches the Rfam family "Bacterial small subunit ribosomal RNA", at positions 16 to 518 of the family's 1533-position model. The record is from RNAcentral.